Molecule: ribosomal RNA, 484 nt
Filed under: uncultured bacterium
Lineage: Bacteria
Description: partial 16S ribosomal RNA
Rfam family: Bacterial small subunit ribosomal RNA
Source: RNAcentral
AUUGAACGCUGGCGGCAUGCUUUACACAUGCAAGUCGAACGGCAGCGCGGGCUUCGGCCUGGCGGCGAGUGGCGAACGGGUGAGUAAUGCAUCGGAACGUGCCCAGUAGUGGGGGCUAGCCCGGCGAAAGCCGGAUUAAUACCGCAAACGACCUGAGGGUGAACGGGGGGGACCGGAAGACCUCGCGCUAUUGGAGGGGCCGAUGUCGGAUUAGCGAGUUGGUGGGGUAAAGGCUUAACAAGGCGACGAUCCGUAGCUGGUCUGAGAGGACGACCAGCCACAAUGGGACUGAGACACGGCCCAGACUCCUACGGGAGGCAGCAGUGGGGAAUUUUGGACAAUGGGGGCAACCCUGGUCCAGCCAUGCCGCGGGCGGGAAGAAGGCCUUCGGGUUUUAAAACGCUUUUGUUUGGGAAGAAAUCCUCUGGGCUAAUACCCCGGGGGGAUGACGGUACCGGAAGAAUAAGCACCGGCUAACUACGUG